RNAcentral lists this ribosomal RNA (460 nucleotides) under uncultured Rubellimicrobium sp. RNAcentral's name for it is "partial 16S ribosomal RNA". The record is from RNAcentral. Lineage: Bacteria; Pseudomonadati; Pseudomonadota; Alphaproteobacteria; Rhodobacterales; Roseobacteraceae.
CACGGAGUUAGCCGGGGUUUCUUUACCGGGUACCGUCAUUAUCUUCCCCGGCGAAAGGGCUUUACGACCCUAAGGCCUUCAUCACCCACGAGGCAUGGCUAGAUCAGGCUUGCGCCCAUUGUCUAAGAUUCCCCACUGCUGCCUCCCGUAGGAGUCUGGGCCGUGUCUCAGUCCCAGUGUUGCUGAUCAUCCUCUCAAACCAGCUACCGAUCGUCGGCUUGGUGGGCCAUUACCCCACCAACUACCUAAUCAGACGCGGGCCGAUCUCUUGCCGAUAAAUCUUUCCCCCUCAGGGCACAUCCGGUAUUACCCCCAGUUUCCCAGGGCUAUUCCGAAGCAAAAGGCACGUUCCCACGCGUUACUAACCCGUCCGCCGCUGAGCCCCGAAAGGCCCCGCUCGACUUGCAUGUGUUAAGCCUAGCCCGCAGUCGUUCGUUCUGACGCGAGGACUACAAACUCU